AGUGAACGCUGGCGGUAGGCCUAACACAGGCAAGUCGAACGGCAGCACAGGAGAGCUUGCUCUCUGGGUGGCGAGUGGCGGACGGGUGAGGAAUACAUCGGAAUCUACUUUUUCGUGGGGGAUAACGUAGGGAAACUUACGCUAAUACCGCAUACGACCUACGGGUGAAAGCAGGGGAUCUUCGGACCUUGCGCGAUUGAAUGAGCCGAUGUCGGAUUAGCUAGUUGGCGGGGUAGAGGCCCACCAAGGCGACGAUCCGUAGCUGGUCUGAGAGGAUGAUCAGCCACACUGGAACUGGAACACGGUCCAGACUCCUACGGGAGGCAGCAGUGGGGAAUAUUGGACAAUGGGCGAAAGCCUGAUCCAGCCAUACCGCGUGGGUGAAGAAGGCCUUCGGGUUGUAAAGCCCUUUUGUUGGGAAAGAAAUCCAGCUGGUUAAUACCCGGUUGGGAUGACGGUACCCAAAGAAUAAGCACCGGCUAACUUCGUGCCAGCAGCCGCGGUAA
Molecule: ribosomal RNA, 506 nt
Filed under: uncultured bacterium
Lineage: Bacteria
Description: partial 16S ribosomal RNA
Rfam family: Bacterial small subunit ribosomal RNA
Source: RNAcentral